Molecule: ribosomal RNA, 450 nt
Filed under: uncultured bacterium
Lineage: Bacteria
Description: partial 16S ribosomal RNA
Rfam family: Bacterial small subunit ribosomal RNA
Source: RNAcentral
GUGGGGAAUUUUGGACAAUGGGCGCAAGCCUGAUCCAGCAAUGCCGCGUGCAGGAAGAAGGCCUUCGGGUUGUAAACUGCUUUUGUACGGAACGAAACGGUCCUGGCUAAUAUCCGGGGCUAAUGACGGUACCGUAAGAAUAAGCACCGGCUAACUACGUGCCAGCAGCCGCGGUAAUACGUAGGGUGCGAGCGUUAAUCGGAAUUACUGGGCGUAAAGCGUGCGACAGCGGUGCUGUAAGAAGGGCGUGAAAUACCCGGGCUGAAACUGGGAAUUGCGCUUGUGACUGCAGUGCUGGAGUGCGGCAGAGGGGGAUGGAAUUCCGCGUGUAGCAGUGAAAUGCGUAGAUAUGCGGAGGAACACCGAUGGCGAAGGCAAUCCCCUGGGCCUGCACUGACGCUCAUGCACGAAAGCGUGGGGAGCAAACAGGAUUAGAAACCCUAGUAGUCC